GACGAACGCUGGCGGCGUGCCUAAUACAUGCCAGUAGAACGCACAGUUUAUACCGUAGCUUGCUACACCAUAGACUGUGAGUUGCGAACGGGUGAGUAACGCGUAGGUAACCUGCCUGGUAGCGGGGGAUAACUAUUGGAAACGAUAGCUAAUACCGCAUAAUAUUGAUUAUUGCAUGAUAAUUAAUUGAAAGGUGCAAUUGCACCACUACCAUAUGGACCUGCGUUGUAUUAGCUAGUAGGUGAGGUAACGGCUCACCUAGGCGACGAUACAUAGCCGACCUGAGAGGGUGAUCGGCCACACUGGGACUGAGACACGGCCCAGACUCCUACGGGAGGCAGCAGUAGGGAAUCUUCGGCAAUGGACGAAAGUCUGACCGAGCAACGCCGCGUGAGUGAAGAAGGGUUUCGGAUCGUAAAGCUCGGUUGUAAGAGAAGAACGGGUGUGAGAGUGGAAAGUUCACACUGUGACGGUAUCUUACCAGAAAGGGACGGCUAACUACGUG
Molecule: ribosomal RNA, 505 nt
Filed under: uncultured bacterium
Lineage: Bacteria
Description: partial 16S ribosomal RNA
Rfam family: Bacterial small subunit ribosomal RNA
Source: RNAcentral